RNAcentral lists this ribosomal RNA (260 nucleotides) under uncultured archaeon. Its description in RNAcentral is "partial 16S ribosomal RNA". It matches the Rfam family "Archaeal small subunit ribosomal RNA", at positions 748 to 1009 of the family's 1478-position model. The record is from RNAcentral.
UAGCCGUAAACGAUACUCGCUAGGUGUCGGCCACGGUGCGACCGUUGUCGGUGCCGUAGGGAAGCCGUGAAGCGAGCCACCUGGGAAGUACGGCCGCAAGGCUGAAACUUAAAGGAAUUGGCGGGGAGCACAACAACGGGUGGAGCUUGCGGUUUAAUUGGAUUCAACGCCGGAAAUCUUACCGGGACCGACAGCAACAUGAAGGCCAAGCUGAAGACUUUGCCGGAUUAGCUGAGAGGAGGUGCAUGGCGUAGUCGUGU